RNAcentral lists this unclassified non-coding RNA (329 nucleotides) under fungal sp. Its description in RNAcentral is "partial internal transcribed spacer region". The stretch from base 1 to 46 matches the Rfam family "Eukaryotic small subunit ribosomal RNA", at positions 1786 to 1831 of the family's 1831-position model. The record is from RNAcentral. Lineage: Eukaryota; Fungi.
AAGUCGUAACAAGGUCUCCGUAGGUGAACCUGCGGAGGGAUCAUUAACAUCAAUCUAGUUGUGUAGAUACAAGAGUAGGUACGUAUGUGGUGGUUUUCCACUGCUGCUGCCUCUCUUUAUCUCCCUACCACCGUGAACCUAUCUAUACAACCUGUUGUGUUUUUGGAGAGCUUGUCUCACAACGUUCUCCAGAACACAGCACUAUUACAACCAUAUUUUUAUACCACCCCUCAUAUACAUUAUAUAAUAUCUUAUAUGACAUCUCAUCACAGGGUUGUUCAUAUUGAACUUAAUUGAUACCACUCCUAGCAAUGGAUAUCUUGGUUCUC